RNAcentral lists this microRNA precursor (137 nucleotides) under Capsella rubella. RNAcentral's name for it is "MIR168 microRNA precursor family". It matches the Rfam family "MIR168 microRNA precursor family". Lineage: Eukaryota; Viridiplantae; Streptophyta; Magnoliopsida; Brassicales; Brassicaceae. The record is from Rfam by way of RNAcentral.
UCACGGUCGGGCUCGGAUUCGCUUGGUGCAGGUCGGGAACCAAUUUGGCUGACGUGAGUCGUCUCUUUAUUGGUUUUGUGUCAGCAGAGGAUUGGAUCCCGCCUUGCAUCAACUGAAUCGGAGCCCUCGACGUGAAU